CGGAGGGUGCAAGCGUUAUCCGGAUUCACUGGGUUUAAAGGGUGCGUAGGCGGGUAAGUAAGUCCGUGGUGAAAUCUCUGAGCUUAACUCAGAAACUGCCGUGGAUACUAUUUGCCUUGAAUAUUGUGGAGGUGAGCGGAAUAUGUCAUGUAGCGGUGAAAUGCUUAGAUAUGACAUAGAACACCAAUUGCGAAGGCAGCUCACUACACAAUCAUUGACGCUGAGGCACGAAAGCGUGGGGAUCAAACAGG
Molecule: ribosomal RNA, 251 nt
Filed under: uncultured bacterium
Lineage: Bacteria
Description: partial 16S ribosomal RNA
Rfam family: Bacterial small subunit ribosomal RNA
Source: RNAcentral